Molecule: ribosomal RNA, 451 nt
Filed under: uncultured bacterium
Lineage: Bacteria
Description: partial 16S ribosomal RNA
Rfam family: Bacterial small subunit ribosomal RNA
Source: RNAcentral
GUGGGGAAUAUUGCGCAAUGGGGGAAACCCUGACGCAGCAACGCCGCGUGAGUGAGGAAGGACUUCGGUCUGUAAAGCUCUGUUAAUGUGGAAAAAUGGUAGUUGGUCUAAUAGGCCGAUUAUUUGAUGGUACACAUAGAGGAAGCACCGGCUAACUUCGUGCCAGCAGCCGCGGUAAUACGAAGGGUGCAAGCGUUGUUCGGAUUUAUUGGGCGUAAAGCGCGCGUAGGCGGACCUGCAAGUCAGAUGUGAAAUCUCGGGGCUCAACCCCGAAACUGCGUCUGAAACUACAGGUCUAGAAUCUUGGAGGGGGAAGGGGAAUAUCGCAUGUAGGGGUAAAAUCCGUAGAUAUGCGAUGGAACACCAGAGGCGAAGGCGCCUUCCUGGACAAGUAUUGACGCUGAGGCGCGAAAGCGUGGGGAGCAAACAGGAUUAGAAACCCCUGUAGUCC